This is a non-coding RNA of Oryctolagus cuniculus (rabbit), 394 nucleotides long. NCBI's taxonomy places the organism in Eukaryota, Metazoa, Chordata, Mammalia, Lagomorpha, Leporidae. The record is from RefSeq and is a predicted model, not a curated record.
GAGCCGGCGCCGUGGCUCAAUAGGCUAAUCCUCCACCUUGCAGCGCCGGCACACCGGGUUCUAGUCCCGGUUGGGGCGCCGGAUUCUGUCCCGGUUGCCCCUCUUCCAGGCCAGCUCUCUGCUAUGGCCAGGGAGUGCAGUGGAGGAUGGCCCAGGUGCUUGGGCCCUGCACCCCAUGGGAGACCAGGAAAAGCACCUGGCUCCUGGCUCCUGCCAGGAUCAGCGCGGUGCGCCGGCUGCAGCGGCGGCCAUUGGAGGGUGAACCAACGGCAAAAGGAAGACCUUUCUCUCUGUCUCUCUCUCUCACUGUCCACUCUGCCUGUCAAAAAAAAAAAAAAAAAAAAAAAAAAAAUUUAAAAAAAAAUAAAAAAAAAAAAAAAAAAAAAAAGAAAAA